AGACGUCUACAUUAGAUACCCCUGUAGUCCCAGCCGUAAACUAUGCGCGUUAGGUGUAUCGGUGACCACGAGUCACCGAGGCGCCGAAGGGAAACCGUGAAACGUGCCGCCUGGGAAGUACGGUCGCAAGGCUGAAACUUAAAGGAAUUGGCGGGGAGCACCACAACCGGGUGGAGCCUGCGGUUUAAUUGGACUCAACGCCGGGAAGCUCACCGGAUAAGACAGCGGAAUGAUUGCCGGGCUGAAGACUCUGCAUGACUAGCUG
This 265-nucleotide ribosomal RNA is filed under the name uncultured archaeon. Its description in RNAcentral is "partial 16S ribosomal RNA". It matches the Rfam family "Archaeal small subunit ribosomal RNA", at positions 714 to 982 of the family's 1478-position model. The record is from RNAcentral.